This 169-nucleotide ribosomal RNA is filed under the name Tetraclita rubescens. Its description in RNAcentral is "partial small subunit ribosomal RNA". Lineage: Eukaryota; Metazoa; Arthropoda; Thecostraca; Balanomorpha; Tetraclitidae. The record is from RNAcentral.
GGUAAUUUAGUAUGAAAAGUAGUAAAUUUUUGUACAAUAAAAGUGAACGUUGAGGUCCGUGUUGUAAUUUUAGUUUUUUUGUAAAUCUACAUGUAAGUUUAGGCUAGUAAAAAAAGUUGUAAAAUAAAUUAGGAGAUUYUCAGUAGAAAAUUUUGGAAAUAUAUAAAAA